CGGGAGGGCGGGAUGGGCUGGUGACUGAGCUUGUGCAGGACACGGUCGCAGACGCACCAGCAACACCGUGUCUUCAACCGCCAGCACUCUCACCCAGAGGAGCGCUGGAAGAGGGGAACGCACACAGAGCCCCCGAGACCGCAGCCUGCUGGGAGCCGGGUCCGUGUGGACCGGCUAGGAAACCCGGGGCCUCAGGGGAGCUCGGAAUCAAAGUGAAGCUAGAGACGGAAGUGAAGCUUCUCGGAGGAAAGGAACGUGCUCACUGUGAAGUUCCCUGUAGCAUCCCGUGACAAAGUAUAGCACUGAAACCGGAAACAUGGGCGGAGUGGUGAGCCCCAAAGGCGCCAGGAAGCAGAGCCCUGCGGCAACGUCUUGACAGUUUCUGCAGCGUUGUGUUUGGUUGAUUUCCAUGAAAAACUCCUUGUGCCGGACUCAGUCCGGUGGCGUCGGGAACCAGCAGAGGGAGCCCCGCCCCGCUGAUGUGGGAGCCUCCCCGCGGUGCCGCGCCUCGCCCGUACAGUUAUCCGCUGAGGGAGGCGUGGGCCGGGAACACUGGCCGCAUUGAUGGGCUGCAGGGCAUCCAAGGUAAGCCUGUCACAUUUUCCAAGGGGACCUCCCGGGAAGGAGGAAGCCCGGGAACGUGCACAGCCAACCCAGGAGCAGCUGAGAGCAGUGUUUUAUCAACAAAGGGUUGUCCUGAAGUGGAUAGCACCGCCUGUGCGAGGAGAGAUCCUGAAUGGGAAGGAAUACUUAUCUUUGGAACUCUGAAACUUUCUCUUUUCUUCAACACCUCACAUGCUAUUAAGAAAUGAGGCCCUAACUUGGGAAUUAUCUGACGUUUAUUAUGUCUAAAAACUUCAAAAAGGAAGCAAGAGCGGGCGCAUGCCCUUGGCUCUGACGUCUUCGCGUCCGUGCCAUCCCCCGUCCGCUCUUCAGGUGACCGGCGCGUCCGGAGCUGCCCGUGCUGCUGGGGCGAGGCCGGUUUCCCGGGAGCACGUCUCAGCAUCAGACCCUCUGUUUGUUUCUAUAAUAAAGCUUCUCCAGGCGGAAGCACAAGAGAAAUAUGUUCAUUAAAAUAAAGGAGAAAAAUUAC
Long non-coding RNA from Hippopotamus amphibius kiboko, 1093 nucleotides. RefSeq lists it as uncharacterized. Lineage: Eukaryota; Metazoa; Chordata; Mammalia; Artiodactyla; Hippopotamidae. The record is from RefSeq and is a predicted model, not a curated record. The transcript has 3 exons.